Molecule: transfer RNA, 28 nt
Filed under: Anser albifrons (White-fronted goose)
Lineage: Eukaryota; Metazoa; Chordata; Aves; Anseriformes; Anatidae
Description: partial tRNA-Phe
Source: RNAcentral
GUCCACAUAGCUUAACCACAAAGCAUGG